Molecule: long non-coding RNA, 1382 nt
Filed under: Gallus gallus (chicken)
Lineage: Eukaryota; Metazoa; Chordata; Aves; Galliformes; Phasianidae
Source: RNAcentral
GGCCUUCCAUGGCUGGGUGGUCGCGUGCCGAGUUCCUUAGCGAUGCUGUGUUUGCCUUUACCUUCAGGUGGGGGGGCUUGCCACCCUGCAGGUCUAACGGUGUCCCCGCUGAUGUUUCAGGAGCUGCUGCAGAAGGAAGAAGAAGAAGCAGCGGCGUGGGGACCUGGGAGGCAGGAGCAAGCAAGAAGAGGAAGCGGAAGCGUGCAGAUGCGGGGGGGAAGGAGAGAGGCUCCCUGGGCAAAGCACCUGUCCCGUUAGCAGGGGCACAGUCACGUUUGAGUUGAGAGCUGCCGGCGCCUUUGGUGACCAGGCUGGCGUUGUGCUGGGCGACCUCCCCGUAAGCGGGGCUCGGGUCUUUGCUGUAGUUGGCCUUUUGCCUUGCUGCUCCUUUGGCUGCCUGGGGAGCGUGGCCCCCUGUAACGGAGGGCGAGAGCCACCUCUCCGCACCUGAGUGGGAAAUGGAGCUCGCCGGACCCCAAGGCCACCCUGUAAGCAGGGUAGUGCCGUUUCCCUGCCCCUCUUCCUCCCCCGGCCCCUCGGCAUCGUUGCCUGAUGGUGGCUUGUCAACGCGACGGCCCCGUACUCGGGGUGUGCGUCACGGCAUUUGGCCGUUGGCUUUACCUGAGAAGCCCCUUGGCACGUUGAGGUCUGUGGCCUCCGUGCAGCCUAGGGACAGGUCACAGGCUCUUGUCUGUUGCCCGUGGUUGUGGGUUUAUUCCCAGGUGUUGGCUGUGCUGCGUUGUCCUUCCCUUCUGGAAAGUCGUGCCUGUGUGUGCGUGUUCCCCUUCCUUUCCUUGUUUGUGUUUGUGGAGUGGUUGAGCGGCUGUGCUUUCCCUUUAGGCCUCCACAAAGAUGGCUGCAGCUUAGCUUUGACUUCUGGAAAGUCGUGCCUGUGUGUGCGUGUUCCCCUUCCUUUCCUUGUUGUGUUUGUGGAGUGGUUGAGCGGCUGUGCUUUCCCUUUAGGCCUCCACAAAGAUGGCUGCAGCUUAGCUUUGACUUCCCAGGGGGGAAUGGAGGACUUUGGUGCAUGCCGCAAAAGGGGUGUUCCCUCUUAGUCCUGCGAGCGCAGCGAGUGUCCUGUCUUCCUACUAUUUCCUUAGUGCAGAUCAGAGCCACACGGUAGUUCUGUGGCCAAGGCCUCCCUGUAGCCAGGGCUUGGGCCUGUCCUUGCGUGGCCGCCUGUCCUGCUGGCGGCGGUGACAGCCCCGUACUCGGGGUGUGUGUCCCAAGCUUCGGAGCCCUCUGUCCCUGAGCAGCCCGCCCGCCCUGUAAUCAGGUGUGGGGAGGCUGCAGCGUUGCAGCCGGCUGCUUUAGCCAUCCAGCUGGUGGGAGUGACCCCUCCCUGUCCCGUCAGAGGGUGCAGGUUGAGGUGCUGUUUGUGU